Leptonychotes weddellii (Weddell seal) is the source of this 890-nucleotide non-coding RNA. The record is from RefSeq and is a predicted model, not a curated record. NCBI's taxonomy places the organism in Eukaryota, Metazoa, Chordata, Mammalia, Carnivora, Phocidae.
UCAUUUGCAAAAAGGAACUAUUUACUUUACAGCAUUAUUGUGAAUAGUUAACAAGGUAAUAUAUUUAACAUUGAGUUCCAUCCCCUGCCUAGCUUCCUAAAGGACUGCUUUGCCUAGCACAGACACAAGUUAAACUUGUUUCCUUUCCCUUUUCAUUGUCACAGGGCAGCCAGCACAAGAUCAAAAUGGUGGCCUAGCAAUUAAAACUGUCCUGGUUUCUUUGGCUGGAAACGGAAGCUAAUGAAGAAAGUGACCGCUGGUAGGUGCCAUUCUCCCAGAGUGCUUUGCCAGGCUUCACCCUUGCUGAUUCUUCUUGAGCGAAUGAACUGGGGACACAGGAUCGGGCAUAGAGAGUUCUAAAUUCUUCAUCAAAGGACUCAACAAGCUGUCCUGUGAUUAUCUGAACCAUGCUGAGGAAAGAAAGCCAUUAGCAAUAUGCUUUUAUAUGACCUAGAUACUUCAUGAAAUAAUAACAAACUCUCAUCAAGGAAAAGCUGUCUUUACACAUGGCGAUUCCUACUGUGUCCGAGAAGAAUGAACAGUCUGAAAAAGCCCCCAGAGAUUCUGAUACGCUGCCAUGGUGGGAUGAGGUUGGGAGUGCCUCACUCUCUUCCGAUCACUCCACCCCACUGAAAGGCAAUGAUUUAAAGAUAGAUAAAUUCUACGUUCUUGCUUUCAAGUUGCCUUGUAAUUUACAUGAGGAUACUAAGAGCUGCAAAGCCCCACCAUUAAGCUGAAGUAUGCUAUAAUAAUAAUUACAUUAAUAACUUCAUGUACAUAAUUACAUUUUGCACACAAGUACACAUUUUCACAAAAUUCUAGUCAAUUUUAAAUGUGAUACUGCAUUUUAUAAUCAUUCAUAAACUGUGUAUCAUGGAAUAAACUAUUUU